GGGCAACGGCCCACCAAGGGCGACGAUCGUUAGCUGAUGUGAGAGCAUGGUCAGCCACACGGGCACUGAGACACGGGCCCGACUCCUACGGGAGGCAGCAGUAAGGAAUAUUGGUCAAUGGGCGCAGGCCUGAACCAGCCAUGCCGCGUGGAGGACGAAGGCCCUCCGGGUCGUAAACUCCUUUUACCCGGGACGAAAAAAGCCCUUUUGAGGGCACUUGACGGUACCGGGGGAAUAAGCACCGGCUAACUCCGUGCCAGCAGCCGCGGUAAUACGGAGGGUGCGAGCGUUAUCCGGAUUCACUGGGUUUAAAGGGUGCGCAGGCGGGCUUUUAAGUCAGCGGUGAAACCCGCGGGCUCAACCCGCGGACUGCCGAUGAUACUAGGGGCCUUGGAUGUCGCUGAGGGCAGCGGAAUGGGGCAUGUAGCGGUGAAAUGCAUAGAUAUGCCCCGGAACACCGAUUGCGGAGGCAGCUGCCUAAAGGACGAUCGACGCUGAGGCACGAAAGCGUGGGUAGCGAACAGGAUUAGAUACCCUGGUAGUCCACGCCCUAAACGAUGAUUACUCGACGUCCGCGGCAUAC
Molecule: ribosomal RNA, 583 nt
Filed under: uncultured bacterium
Lineage: Bacteria
Description: bacterial SSU rRNA
Rfam family: Bacterial small subunit ribosomal RNA
Source: RNAcentral